CCUACGGGUGGCUGCAGUGAGGAAUAUUGGUCAAUGGGCGAGAGCCUGAACCAGCCAAGUCGCGUGAAGGAUGACGGCCCUACGGGUUGUAAACUUCUUUUGUCAGGGAGCAAUUGAGUCCACGUGUGGGCUUAGCGAGAGUACCUGAAGAAAAAGCAUCGGCUAACUCCGUGCCAGCAGCCGCGGUAAUACGGAGGAUGCGAGCGUUAUCCGGAUGUAUUGGGUUAAAAGGGUGCGUAGGCGGAAUAUCAAGUCAGCGGUAAAGAUUCGGGGCUCAACCCCGUCGUGCCGUUGAAACUGAUGUUCUUGAGUGGGCGAGAGGUAUGCGGAAUGUGUAGUGUAGCGGUGAAAUGCGUAGAUAUCACGCGGAACUCCGAUGGCGAAGGCAGCAUACCGGAGCCCAACUGACGCUGAAGCACGAAAGCGUGGGUAUCGAACAGGAUUAGAUACCCGAGUAGUC
RNAcentral lists this ribosomal RNA (460 nucleotides) under uncultured bacterium. RNAcentral's name for it is "partial 16S ribosomal RNA". It matches the Rfam family "Bacterial small subunit ribosomal RNA", at positions 338 to 795 of the family's 1533-position model. The record is from RNAcentral.